UACGUAGGGGGCUAGCGUUGUCCGGAAUCAUUGGGCGUAAAGAGCGCGUAGGCGGCCCGGAAAGUCGGAUGUGAAAACCCGGGGCUCAACCCCGGGCCUGCAUCCGAUACUCCCGGGCUGGAGGCAGGUAGGGGAGAUCGGAAUUCCUGGUGUAGCGGUGAAAUGCGCAGAUAUCAGGAGGAACACCGGUGGCGAAGGCGGAUCUCUGGGCCUGUCCUGACGCUGAGGCGCGAAAGCUAGGGGAGCGAACAGG
Molecule: ribosomal RNA, 253 nt
Filed under: uncultured bacterium
Lineage: Bacteria
Description: partial 16S ribosomal RNA
Rfam family: Bacterial small subunit ribosomal RNA
Source: RNAcentral